UGGCUGGCCAAGAAAAAUUGGCAUCUGGCAUACCUAGGAAUCAUUCAAAAUAGUUUAAUAGGAAGGACAUUUUGAGGCCAGCCAGCAUUAUGACAUUUGUGGGUCCUACGGCAUUUCACCUUGGAAACAUUUUCCUGGGCAUCUAAAAGUAUUGUGGACCUGAGACACUGUGCUUACAGGGCCUACUGGGUUGAUUCUAAAGAAGAAAGAAAAUCUAUAUGCAUGAAAAGAUGUCUUAAAAAGUUUUGAACUACUCAAAGUUAAGAUUUGGGGAAAUAGAAAUAGUAUAUAACUUAAGAAAAUUGCCACUGGCUGUGAACCCCCAUGGCAUUUUCUUUGCACUUUUUUGCUUCUCGUUAGAUUGUAUGUGUUUUUACCAUUUCACACAAACUUUUAAAGAUUAUUCCACGCCGUUAGCUCUGUGCUUCUA
This 430-nucleotide long non-coding RNA is filed under the name Homo sapiens (human). RNAcentral's name for it is "non-protein coding CA3-AS1:7". Lineage: Eukaryota; Metazoa; Chordata; Mammalia; Primates; Hominidae. The record is from RNAcentral.